GACGAACGCUGGCGGCGUGCUUAACACAUGCAAGUCGAACGGAAAGGCCCUGCUUUUGUGGGGUGCUCGAGUGGCGAACGGGUGCGUAACACGUGAGUAACCUGCCCUUGACUGUGGGAUAACUUCAGGAAACUGGGGCUAAUACCGGAUAGGAGCUCCUGCUGCUUGGUGGGGGUUGGAAAGUUUCGGCGGUUGGGGAUGGACUCGCGGCUUAUCAGCUUGUUGGUGGGGUAGUGGCUUACCAAGGUUUUGACGGGUAGCCGGCCUGAGAGGGUGACCGGCCACAUUGGGACUGGGAUACGGCCCGGACUCCAACGGGAGGCAGCAGUGGGGAAUAUUGCACGAUGGGCGGAAGCCUGAUGCAGGAACGCCGCGUGCUGGAUGACGGCCUUCGGGUUGGAACGCGCUUUCGCCUGGGACGAAGCGUGAGUGACGGUAAUGGGUAAAGAAGCACCGGCUAACUACGUG
RNAcentral lists this ribosomal RNA (468 nucleotides) under uncultured bacterium. RNAcentral's name for it is "partial 16S ribosomal RNA". It matches the Rfam family "Bacterial small subunit ribosomal RNA", at positions 28 to 507 of the family's 1533-position model. The record is from RNAcentral.